CAGUGGGGAAUAUUGCACAAUGGGCGCAAGCCUGAUGCAGCCAUGCCGCGUGUAUGAAGAAGGCCUUCGGGUUGUAAAGUACUUUCAGCAGUGAGGAAGGUGGAUAUGUUAAUAGCAUAUUCAUUUGACGUUAGCUGCAGAAGAAGCACCGGCUAACUCCGUGCCAGCAGCCGCAGUAAUACGGAGGGUGCGAGCGUUAAUCGGAAUUACUGGGCGUAAAGCGCAUGCAGGUGGUUUGUUAAGUCAGAUGUGAAAGCCCGGGGCUCAACCUCGGAAUUGCAUUUGAAACUGGCAAACUAGAGUACUGUAGAGGGGGUAGAAUUUCAGGUGUAGCGGUGAAAUGCGUAGAGAUCUGAAGGAAUACCGGUGGCGAAGGCGGCCCCCUGGACAGAUACUGACACUCAGAUGCGAAAGCGUGGGGAGCAAACAGGAUUAGAUACCCUGGUAA
This 448-nucleotide ribosomal RNA is filed under the name uncultured bacterium. Its description in RNAcentral is "bacterial SSU rRNA". It matches the Rfam family "Bacterial small subunit ribosomal RNA", at positions 352 to 793 of the family's 1533-position model. The record is from RNAcentral.